Molecule: long non-coding RNA, 480 nt
Organism: Chinchilla lanigera (long-tailed chinchilla)
Lineage: Eukaryota; Metazoa; Chordata; Mammalia; Rodentia; Chinchillidae
Exons: 3
Source: RefSeq, a predicted model, not a curated record
UGCUGUGAGGUGGCGGAGGACUGGAGAAACGUGAGAGGAGCUGGCUCAUGAGAAGAGAGACAGCACUCAAUCCUCUGGAACCAAAUGAGCCCAACCUGUCUCAAAAAGGCAAGGCUGACUUCACUAACUGAAAAGCAAGUGAAAAUUGCUGUGGGCCUGUGUUGCCCGAGACUGCCUCAAGCACAGGACUAUCAUAAGCAAAUGUUUAAAAAGGGAGGAUUUUGGAAGAGAAAAUCAACCAACAAUGGGGUCUGGACAAAGCAGUAUCCUCAAGUUGAUGGGAGCAAAGCGAGGGGCUCCUGUAAGCCUACUGCUCUAGGGGAACCUGACAGAACAGGAAUGAAAGCAACAAUUAACAUCUGUCAACCCUCGCUAUGGAUCAUGCUACACUUACUACUUCAUUUCUGUUAUUUCAUUAAAUACCCAUCACCCCAUAAACCUUAAGAGGCUGCUGUUCUUCUCACUACAUAGAUGAGAAAA